UGAAGCGGCAACAGCUCAAAUUUGAAAUCUGGUCCCCAGGGCCCGAGUUGUAAUUUGUAGAGGAUGCUUUUGGCAAGGUGCCUUCCGAGUUCCCUGGAACGGGACGCCAUAGAGGGUGAGAGCCCCGUCUGGUCGGACACCAAGCCUCUGUAAAGCUCCUUCGACGAGUCGAGUAGUUUGGGAAUGCUGCUCAAAAUGGGAGGUAUAUGUCUUCUAAAGCUAAAUAUAGGCCAGAGACCGAUAGCGCACAAGUAGAGUGAUCGAAAGAUGAAAAGCACUUUGAAAAGAGGGUUAAAAAGUACGUGAAAUUGUUGAAAGGGAAGCGCCUAUGACCAGACUUGAGCCCGGUGAAUCAUCCAGCGUUCUCGCUGGUGCACUUUGCCGGGCACAGGCCAGCAUCAGUUUGGCGCGGGGGAAAAAGGCUUUGGGAAUGUGGCUCCCUCGGGAGUGUUAUAGCCCAUUGCGUAAUACCCUGCACCGGACUGAGGUACGCGCAUUCGCAAGGAUGCUGGCGUAAUGGUCAUCAGCGACCCGUCUUGAAACACGGACCAAGGAGUCGUCUUCGUAUGCGAGUGUUCGGGUGUUAAACCCCUACGCGUAAUGAAAGUGAACGCAGGUGAGAGCUUCGGCGCAUCAUCGACCGAUCCUGAUGUUCUCGGAUGGAUUUGAGUAAGAGCAUACGGGGCCGGACCCGAAAGAAGGUGAACUAUGCCUGUAUAGGGUGAAGCCAGAGGAAACUCUGGUGGAGGCUCGCAGCGGUUCUGACGUGCGAAUCGAUCGUCAAAUAUGGGCAUGGGGGCGAAAGACUAAUCGAACCUUCUAGUAGCUGGUUUCCGCCGAAGUUUCCCUCAGGAUAGCAGUGUUGAACUCAGUUUUAUGAGGUAAAGCGAAUGAUUAGGGACUCGGGGGCGCUAUAUUGCCUUCAUCCAUUCUCAAACUUUAAAUAUGUAAGAAGCUCUUGUUGCUUAAUUGAACGUGAGCAUUCGAAUGUAUCAACACUAGUGGGCCAUUUUUGGUAAGCAGAACUGGCGAUGCGGGAUGAACCGAACGCGAGGUUAAGGUGCCGGAGUGGACGCUCAUCAGACACCACAAAAGGUGUUAGUACAUCUUGACAGCAGGACGGUGGCCAUGGAAGUCGGAAUCCGCUAAGGACUGUGUAACAACUCACCUGCCGAAUGUACUAGCCCUGAAAAUGGAUGGCGCUCAAGCGUCCCACCCAUACCUCGCCCUCAGGGUAGAAACGAAGCCCUGAGGAGUAGGCGGACGUGGAGGUCAGUGACGAAGCC
Molecule: ribosomal RNA, 1286 nt
Filed under: Zarea flavida
Lineage: Eukaryota; Fungi; Ascomycota; Sordariomycetes; Hypocreales; Cordycipitaceae
Description: LSU rRNA
Rfam family: Eukaryotic large subunit ribosomal RNA
Source: RNAcentral